This 384-nucleotide unclassified non-coding RNA is filed under the name uncultured Phycisphaeraceae bacterium. RNAcentral describes it as "contains 16S-23S intergenic spacer region". The record is from RNAcentral. Lineage: Bacteria; Pseudomonadati; Planctomycetota; Phycisphaerae; Phycisphaerales; Phycisphaeraceae.
UCCGGUUUGACACCGGCAGUCUCGUUAGAGUCCUGGCUUGCGCCUUAGCAACUAACGAUAGGGGUUUCGCUCGUUAAGGGACUUAACCCGACACUUCACAGCACGAGCUGACGACAGCCAUGCAGCACCUGUGCACGUUCCACUCGUGAGAGUGUCAUCCCUGUUUCCAGGAACUAAUCCGUGCAUGUCAAGCCCAGGAUAAGGUUCUUCGCGUUGCUUCGAAUUGAGCCACAUGCUCCACCGCUUGUGUGAGCCCCCGUCAAUUCCUUUGAGUUUUAGCCUUGCGACCGUACUCCCCAGGCGGUGCACUUAUCACUUUUGCUUCGACCCCGAUGGCGUCAGAGCCUCCGGGAUCUAGUGCACAUCGUUUAGGGCGUGGACUAC